UAUUCUUUCUUCUUUUCAAAUUGUAGCCUGUCUAAUAAAUGAGUAAUGGUACCUCACUAGGGCUCCAGUCUGUAUUUUCCUAAUGACUAAAAAUGUUCAGCAUAUUUUCAUGUCUUCUCAGGCAUGGGUAUAUUGUUGGUAAACUCUUUGCUCCAGUCUUUUGCCCAUUUAAAGAAAAAAGUGUUGUUUUCUUAUUGUGUUUCAGGAGUUCUGUAUACAGGAUUCACAUCUAUGUUUUGCAAAUAUUUUCUUGCAAUUCAUGGCUUGUCAUUUCAUUUUCUUCAUAGCAUCUUCCAAAGAGCAGGAGUCCUUAGUGUUGCUGUUUUUCCAGCACUGGGGAUUGAGACCGGGUGCCGGACCACUGCGCUUCUUCCCCAGCAUUCGUUGUUGUUCACUCUUAAUGGAACCUCAUGUCCUGUGUGAGGAACAGUUUCAUUGCUUUCUUCCCCAUCUGUGUGUCUUUAUUGCUUUUUCUUUGAGCUUUGACUAGGAAUGAUAGGAGUAGGCAUCUCUGCCAUGGGAUUCCUUUAGUAUGGCAAUCACUUAACUAAAGGCUCUUUCAGGAAGACUGGUGGGCAGCAUCAGUGGGGGAGGGGAAGCUGAAGACCCCGAGACAGCUGAACAGACAGAGGAACCUGUCUGCUCAUCACCUCCCAUCCUUUUAGUCACCAGCCCACCACUGCCAUAUGUGCUUCCCUCCCACCUGUGACUCCUGUGCUUGGCCCUUAUUCCUCAGCCCUGUGGUCUGCCUGUCUUCUCCUCUCUCCAGCUUCUAGUAUCACCAUUGAGUUUGCCUGGCAGAUUUUACCCUUCCCCCAUCCUGUGGUUCUUCCAGCCCCAGGUCCGGCCAUACGCCAUUGCCCUUUCUCAUCUGCUCAGAGUGAGGCCCUCCAAGUCAAGGGUCCCCAAGUCUCAAGGAACCUAAAUGCAGUCUGCACUCUGGGAUUCUUCAGACAGGGCUCCUUUCCAUUACCGCAGCACCUAUUUCAGGCACUGAUCCCAUGCUCCAACUUUUACUCCUACCAUACUCCAUUCCAUUACUACAACUCCUCCUGGAGUCACUUGUUUGGUGGUUGGUGGCAAAGAGUCUGGUGAAGACCACAUAAGUUCAACUCCCAGCUGUAGAACUGACCAGCAGGGAGACCUUGGGUAUGCUACUUAGCCCCUGGUCACUCAAUUUCCCUAGGUGUAAAACAGGGAAUUGUGGGUUAAUUCAUGUAAACCACAUAGAACAGUGGCUGGUACCAAGAAGUGCCCUAUGUGCUGCUGUUACUAUUACUACCAUUCCUUCCCAUGGUCAUCUACACAUGUCUGUGCCUCUUCUUAAAAGCCAUACAAAUCCCACCCUUAGCACCCCAGGCCUCCACUCCACCUGUUAUACCUUCUGGGCCUUAUUUCCUGAAAGAGUUGACCUUGUUCACUAGCUCACCCUUCACUUCCUUGCCCAGGUCUGCCCAGCCCUUGCUGUCAGGAUGAUGCUCUCAUUAAUGGCCAAAGCCAGCAGACAUCUUCAGACUACUCUUUCAGGAUUGGACACAGCCUCUGAAACCAGAAGUAGCUGUCUCAGCUCUUAACUCUCUGGGCUUCUCCUCUUCACGUGCCUGGGUGCUGUGAGCUGGGUUGCCUAGAUGGUUCCCAUGAUACCCUCUCUAUGCUCUACCCUGUCCACUCCCCAUGGUGCUCAGGGCCAUGUGUUGCAGCUGCCCUCACCACUGAAAGUAGGCUGGCCAUGCUGUUUGCAGGGUGCUUUCCAUCCCCAGUGCAGUGACUGGGUUUUAUUUUUUGCUACUUGGUAAUGAACCCUGGGGCACUUUACCACUGAGCUACAUCCCCAGUCCCUGCUACAUUUUAUUGUAAAUCAGGGUCUCGCCAAUUUGCUGAGGCUGGUCUCAAACCUGCCUCAGUGUCCCAAUUCACUGGGAUUACAGGUGUGUGCCACCAUGCCUGGUUGGACAGAAGCAUUUUUGAUGCCCUGAAAUAUUUCUGAUGGGGGUGCAUCUCAGUGGUAGAGUGUGUGCUUAGCAUGUGCAAGGCCCUGAAUUCUUCAAUCACCAGCACACAAAGAGAAGACAUCUGAAUCAAUGAGUGAAGCCACAAACAGAAGAAUCAACAUUUGGGGAUAGAAGGAAAGAGAGAAAGGAACAGAGAGAAGCCUGGUGCCCUGAUCCCCCAGGAUAAGGGGAGAAGGAAAGGCAGCAGGAAGUUGGUCAGAUGAUGGGGCAAGAAGAAGAUGCUGCUGGAUUUUGGUCCUGUGGAGUGUGAGGGUGUUUGAGACACACAAUUGGAGCAAGAGCCCCAGGUGUGGAGCCAGUGGGAGAGGCUGGUCUGGGUGCCUCAGAGCUGUUGGAUUCCAGUUGUGUGUGAUAGUGUUCCAUGUUGGGAGAGGAAGGUAUUCAAAUUUACUGCUAAGUUCUUAGAAAUUUAUUAAUUAUCAUUCAUUAAGCAUUUUGUAUACCUUAUGUACAAUCAAUAUUUCUUAUGUAUGAUAUAUAUCUAAUCAAACAUUCUUUCUCUAAAUUUAAAAAUUCUGCAACUUUUUAAUACUCUGAUAUUAAUUUAUUUCUUCUGGUACUAGGGAUUGAACCAAGGGGUGCUUUACCACCAAAGCUGCAUCCCUAAUCCUUGCUAUAUAUAUAUUUUUUUGAGAUAGGGUGUCACUAAAUUUUUGAGGGCCCUCCUCAGGAGUGACUUGAUGUAUAAUCUCUUUUUUUAAAAGAUGAAGGAGGAAAGCAGAUUGGCAUGAUUGUGGAUAAAAAUUUAAAACAGCAAGGUACUGAUUUCUAUCAGAAAUUAUUAGUUUUCAUAAUAAAUAAAAGUGAAACUUCAUUUUACCCUGCUGCUGUCACUAUAUAGCAGGCAUUUCUUUUCUCUCUUUAAAUUAUCUGUGUGUGUGGGAAAACUCAAUGCCAUUACAUGAAUUUUUAAAGAUUAAAGAAAAAUUGUUGAGGGCCUUGCUAAGCUUUUGAGGCUGGCCUUGAACUUGCGAUCCUUCAGCCUCAGAAUCCCAAAUCCCUGGGAUUCUGUGUGCACCACUGCACCUGAUGGUAUAUUCAUUUCUUAAGUGCUGUGAACACCAUAGAGGAGGCAGAACCUCAUAGAGGAUAAUGAUUCCUAUUGUUUUUUGGACAUAUUCCAGAGCGGUUCUGAUGUGGAAUCAUCUUUCCUUCAGUGGAGACGAGUGUUGGAUAGAGGUGCUGGAUAGAGGUGGAUAGAAGUGCUGCUGGGCCACUUGCCAUUAUAACAGAAUAUUUGCUACCUAAAUCUCAUGAAGUUGGAUUGAAACUCCACCUGGUCUGGAAGGAGGAGGGGUCGAGGGUGAUGGAUGAACUCAAGGGAAAGAGAAAGUAUAAUAAGGUAGAGGAGAAGACAGUCCGUGUCCAGGUAAGGACAUGACUUUUGAGGUUGACCUUCCCUGCUUUGUGUACUGAAGUUCUUCAGCUCAGAUUUUCCUGGAAAAUCUUAUUUUUGACUAGGAAAAUAUGUUUGGGCAUCCCUUGCUGCUACUAGUCACCCAGAUAGUUAAAGUCAGUGAAGUAGAUUUUUAGAAAAAAUCGAGAGAUAAAAGAGUAAAGUGGGAGCAGGGUGGUGACACCAUCUUUGGAUCAGUUGAGCAAAAGAGCACUAGAAAGAUCUUAAAAGGUACCUGGAAGGAUUAGGUUAGAGGACAGGUGUGGCCAAUGGAGGCAGAGCAAGGAUCCUGCAAAGGGAAGCACAAGGGGAUGAGGAGCCCUGAGAAGGCAGGAGAGGUGAGUGCUGGGUCAGCACUGUCUGGGGAGAGCUGCUCACAAGUGGGUCGAGGGAGGUCACUCUUCCUUGGAGCCUGGGAAGGCAGGAGGCCCUGGUUACUCUUGGAGCCUUGCCAUGAGCCCAUGUUGAGCCCUGUCUUAACUGGCCAACUUAGCGAGGGUCACUGGGAGAUGGCCUUGCCCAGUCCUGCUGAUUCUGAGCUCCUCUUCCCUUCCUCAUCUCCCUCCAGCAUGAUAACCCAUAUGAUGCAGGCUGCAGAAGAAACUGUUUCAUCAUUCUCUGUGCACCCUUGGGACCCAAGUACAUGUCAGAGGCUUCUGUGUGCCUUCAGGUGGAGCAGGGCACCACCUGGGGGCCAACAUAACAUCUUAAAGACCUCCUUGGGCCCAGGUGUGCAACUCAGGCCCUCCCAAGGUUUGGCAAUUCUGCACCCUUACACAAGGCCAGUGCUGCAACAUCCCACCCUGUGAUGCCUGGUUGUGAGCCCUACAUCAAGGUCUCUCAGGCCUGAGCCCUCACUGAGUCCCCUGUUAGGGCUGCCAUGACCCCACAGGUAUGUAUUUCUUAUAAAAUAUAUUUUUUGUUGGUUUUUAUCACUUCUCUGUCUGUUUGUUCUACGUUCAGAGAAGCAAGUUUCCUGUGUGUGUGGUGAGGCUAUGAGGGUCUGGUCAGAGCCCUCCUGGAAGGGAAGAUCCUUUCUCUCUGGAGACUCAAGCUCAGGAACCAACACUAUUUGGCUUUUUGACCUUGGGAAGACACUUAGAAUUUCUCUCAUCCUUAAAAUAUGGCAACAGUAAUAAUUACAGUGACUGACCUGUCUGACUUCCUGGCAAGGGCUGCAGAUGAGAGGAGAGAAAAUUGACCAACCUGGAAAAUACCCAAUGCACCUCAACUACUCCAAAAUAUAGAAAUGGAACUUAUUUAUUAGUAGUAGUUAUAAUUGUGUGUGCACAUGUGUGUAUUAUUUAGGAGUGUGUGUGUGUGUUUGUGUGUG
Molecule: long non-coding RNA, 4741 nt
Organism: Marmota monax (woodchuck)
Lineage: Eukaryota; Metazoa; Chordata; Mammalia; Rodentia; Sciuridae
Exons: 3
Source: RefSeq, a predicted model, not a curated record